GACGAACGCUGGCGGCGUGCUUAACACAUGCAAGUCGAACGGAAAGGCCCUGCGUUUGUGUGGUGCUCGAUUGGCGAACGGGUGAGUAACACGUGAGUAACCUGCCCUUGACUUUGGGAUAACUUCAGGAAACUGGGGCUAAUACCGGAUAUGAGCUUCUGCAGCAUGGUGGGGGAUGGUAAGAUUCGGUGGUUGGGGCUGGACUCGCUGGUUAUGAGCUUGUUAGUGGGGUAGUGGCGUUCCAAGGCUUUGACGGGUAGCCGACCUGAGAGGGUGACCGGGCACAAUAGGACUGAGAUACGCACCAGACUCCAACGGGAGGCAGCAGUGGGGAAUAUUACACAAUGGGGCGAAGCCAGAUGCAGCAACGCCGCGUGCGGGAUGACGGCCUUCGGGUUGUAAACAGAUUUCGCCGGUAACGAAGCGUGCGUGACGGUAAUGGGUAAAGAAGCACCGGCUAACUACGUG
This 468-nucleotide ribosomal RNA is filed under the name uncultured bacterium. RNAcentral describes it as "partial 16S ribosomal RNA". It matches the Rfam family "Bacterial small subunit ribosomal RNA", at positions 28 to 507 of the family's 1533-position model. The record is from RNAcentral.